UUCAAAAACUUUUGACUGGUAGUGUGUAUUAAAAUGUUUAAUAAUUCGUUCAGCCUGGUCAGUACCUGGAUGGGAGGCCUCCUGGGAAAACUAGGUUGCUUUUGGAA
Ribosomal RNA from Sinocyclocheilus rhinocerous, 107 nucleotides. Lineage: Eukaryota; Metazoa; Chordata; Actinopteri; Cypriniformes; Cyprinidae. The record is from Ensembl.